RNAcentral lists this transfer RNA (98 nucleotides) under Thermogladius calderae 1633. Its description in RNAcentral is "Thermogladius cellulolyticus 1633 tRNA". It matches the Rfam family "tRNA". Rfam says of the family: Transfer RNA (tRNA) molecules are approximately 80 nucleotides in length. Their secondary structure includes four short double-helical elements and three loops (D, anti-codon, and T loops). The record is from Rfam by way of RNAcentral. Lineage: Archaea; Thermoproteati; Thermoproteota; Thermoprotei; Desulfurococcales; Desulfurococcaceae.
GCCGGGGUAGCUCAGCCUGGUAGAGCGCCGGGCUGUUAACCGCGUUAGGUAGCCUGGUGGAAACCCGGUGGUCCGGGGUUCGAGUCCCCGCCCCGGCG